GGCUGAGCGCUCCUCUCGGCGGCCCACGUGACCUAGACCUUUGGCGCCAAAGGUAGGUCUUCACCUGCCCUCCCCGUGACCUGGCCGCACCCGGGCAAGCCCUCCAUCCUGGGAGAAGCCGGGACCCCCCGGAGUGGAAUCCUGAAAAGUAACAGAGAAAGUGGACUUUGGCAUCUGAAGAGGCACAUCUGGUGAACCUAUGCACAAAUUCUGUUCGGAAGCCACCCUGCAACAGAGGAGAUCAUCUGUGCUUCCAGCCAGACUGUGCAGUGUAUCUGGACACCACAGAAAAGUGUGCCCCUCCCUGACCUAUGGCCAGAGCUUUGCAGCGUGCCUUAUAUUCCAAUUAAGAAGACACAGAGAGGAGCCUGUUUACACGUCUCCAGCAGCCUACCCAGAGAUCUCGCAG
This is a long non-coding RNA of Callorhinus ursinus (northern fur seal), 409 nucleotides long. RefSeq lists it as uncharacterized. Lineage: Eukaryota; Metazoa; Chordata; Mammalia; Carnivora; Otariidae. The record is from RefSeq and is a predicted model, not a curated record.